This 386-nucleotide ribosomal RNA is filed under the name uncultured eukaryote. RNAcentral describes it as "partial 18S ribosomal RNA". It matches the Rfam family "Eukaryotic small subunit ribosomal RNA", at positions 592 to 976 of the family's 1831-position model. The record is from RNAcentral.
CAGUAGCGUAUAUAAAAGUUGUUGCAGUUGAAAAGCUCGUAGUUGGAUUUCUGGCUUGGAACGGCUGGUCCGCCGUAUAUGCGGUGCGUACCGGUUCGAUCCAGCCAUCCUUCCAAGGACCUCUCCUGCCCUUCAUUGGGUCGGGUGUAGGCACUUGGAUCGAUUACUUUGAAAAAAUUAGAGUGUUCAAAGCAGGCGUUUGUCUUGAAUACAUUAGCAUGGAAUAAUGACAUAGGACUUUGGUUCUAUUUUGUUGGUUUCUAGGACUGAAGUAAUGAUUGAUAGGGAUAGUUGGGGGUGCUAGUAUUGUGCGGCCAGAGGUGAAAUUCUUGGAUUCGCGAAAGACUAACUAAUGCGAAAGCAUUCACCAAGGAUGUCUUCUUUAA